AACAACAGAAGCACCAAAAGGCCAAAAUAUUCCAACAGACAGCACAACUACAUGCAUGCUAUACCUUCUUUCUACAAAAGGCCACUCCCAUUUCAAAACUCAUCAUACAAAACUAUUUCUUCCUCAUUGCUUAGUCAAAACCUGUCUCUCAUCUCAUCAUCCUCAAAUCUCACCCAGAAUUUCCAUUCCCUUUUGCUCUAUAUAGCCUCUAGGGUUUCUCAGAAUCUUGUUCUAUAGUCAAUUUGGCAUUCUGUCCACCUCCAUUAAAGAUCAGUGACAACUGGAGGUGGUCAGAACACCAAACGAGCUAUGUGAAUCUGCUUCUGAGAAACCUUCGUGGCCUCAGCUCUCUUCUCUUUCAUAUUAUCUCUUCUGAGUUCUGCAUAAUCAUAGUUUUCCACAUCAUGCACAUGUUAAUUUACAUACACUCAUGCCAUGAUUCCUUUAACUUUGUUCUCAGCAUAUGCAGUCUGCAACUUCUUGUAUGUCUCACCCUAAUGAGUUUCCAUUUUACAUUUUUGCAGAUUCUUCUUUAUAACAUGUAACUUUUCUACAAGGAAGCAAGAGCACUGCUUGGUGAACACAAGUGGGGUCAGGCCUGAAAGAAAUUAAUGGCAGGAAGUUCCUUAUGUUAAAGUUUAAAAUGAUUACUUGAUUAUGCAAUGGCCAUUUUCUUCUCAAAGAUAUUCUAAGUUGGUCCCCACUUAACAGGCGCAUUCUGUUUUCUCUGUCACCGGUGACGACACUUUAUUCCAACGAACCCACAUUUUGAAGGUGGUUGCUGUGUGGUAAAACACUUUUUGCAUAUAUGCAUCAUGGGUUCUAGUUGUUUGGACUCAAGUUGAAGAGUUUUAAAGCUCAGGGUGGUGCUUUUUUGGUUUUGUGGUUGUUUCGACAUUGUAUUGCAAGUGUUUUUCGGCAUCGCGAGAGAGAGAAACGCAAAUGUGGCAGUUCUAGGUUCAUUCUCAUGUGGAUUAAUUUCUAUGAUUAGGGUUUUGAUGGUAAACGACGAUGUUUCAGGUGUGGUGAUUGUUAUUUUCAUGCUCGUAGUGAAGGUUUUAGUGUGUCGAGGUGGACAAAGAUGUUUUGCAAUUUUGGGUUUUGGUGGUGCGAUUCUUGCGUAGAGAUAUGGUGGGUUGCAUCUCCAACAAGGCUUCACACAUGACUUGUGGUGCAAUUGUGUCUUGUUGGUUUUUCCUGGCUCAAAAUUUGUGUCUUCUAAGUACUAUAAUGAAGUUUGAAUGCUGGCGAGCAAAGGAUGACAACGUCGAAACCUGAUUUGAGAAGAUGCAUUAGACUUGACUCUAAUUUGGAAGAAGAUGCAUGUGUGGUUUGCGUUUUGAACGAAAAUAGCUCAUCGCCGACAAUGUGCAAUGGAGAUGUGUGGUGAUGAAGGUGAUUAGAGUUUCUGAUGUGUUGGGAAGUUGAAUAUGAUAAUGUGACAAUGUGUACACUGUGUUAAAUGAGCCAUGAAAGAAAAUACUAUCAA
Molecule: long non-coding RNA, 1489 nt
Organism: Vigna angularis (adzuki bean)
Lineage: Eukaryota; Viridiplantae; Streptophyta; Magnoliopsida; Fabales; Fabaceae
Exons: 4
Source: RefSeq, a predicted model, not a curated record